Brassica rapa (field mustard) is the source of this 430-nucleotide long non-coding RNA. RefSeq lists it as uncharacterized. The record is from RefSeq and is a predicted model, not a curated record. Lineage: Eukaryota; Viridiplantae; Streptophyta; Magnoliopsida; Brassicales; Brassicaceae.
UCAGUAUAUAAAGUAUUUACCAAAAACUCAAUAUUUUUGUAGGGGGGGUUAGCCCAUAGAUUUUGAGAAAAUUUCAAAAAAUAUGAAUAUAUUGUUUUAAUGCUUGGUUGCAUCCUGCACUAACAUAUGAUGAUGUUCAAAGAGGUUUGGAGCCUUUGUCGUCUCCGUUUAUCAAGAAAAUAAUAAUUUUAUAGUGGUUAUUCUGUCGAUUUAGGGAGUGUUAUGAAGACUUACAAAAUUAAGUGAAAAAAUAAUUGAACGAUGCUCAUUUACCAUGAAAAUGAGUUUAGCAUACAUUAAUACAAAUGUAGAAUAUGGUAGAAAUUUUAAAACAACACUACAUAUUAUGGGCUUCAUUAUAUAACGAAUUACCAAAAUUUCAAUGUUUUUGUAGGGGUUAGCCCAUUGAUUUUGAGAAAAUUUCAAAAAA